UGGGGGAUAUUGCACAAUGGGGGAAACCCUGAUGCAGCGACGCCGCGUGUGGGAAGACGGUCCUCUGGAUUGUAAACCACUGUCCCCAGGGACGAAGAUGACGGUACCUGGGGAGGAAGCUCCGGCUAACUACGUGCCAGCAGCCGCGGUAAUACGUAGGGAGCGAGCGUUGUCCGGAAUUACUGGGUGUAAAGGGAGCGUAGGCGGGGGUGCAAGUUGGGUGUCAAAACUACCGGCUCAACUGGUAGUCGCACUCAAAACUGCAACUCUUGAGUGAAGUAGAGGCAGGCGGAAUUCCUAGUG
Molecule: ribosomal RNA, 303 nt
Filed under: uncultured bacterium
Lineage: Bacteria
Description: bacterial SSU rRNA
Rfam family: Bacterial small subunit ribosomal RNA
Source: RNAcentral